AAAAUAAGUCUUAACCGAUUUGUAUCCAAGCGCGGAUUAAUCCACGCGCUGCGACUGUCUUCUAUCACCAAGCGUGGAUUAUUACGCAAUCGGACGACUGUCUUCAAUCACCAAGCGCGGAUUAAUACGCGCGCUGCGACUCCUUCUUUUUAUUUCUAUUUUAAUUUAAAUAAUUUUUACUUUUUUCCCCUGUUAUAAAGAAUGUAAGAUGCGAUAUUUUCGAAGUCACAUUGUCUACCAAUCGUUUUGAACAGUAAAUUUUCGAUAAACUCCAUGAAGAAUUCGGAUGUCAUUUACUGCACCUACGACCGACCGCGCGUGGUGAUAGGGACCAGUCCUCUUAAGUAGGGUCAUGAUGCAAAUAAGGACAAUGUGGCAGGACAAAUUUUAGAGGACUCACCGGGGGAUCGUCUCAGUACCACCAUUUUCCUGAAGAUAAAUAGAAACAAAUUUUGUUGUAUUCAUCAAAUGUUACUGCAUCUCAUAAAUGUCAGGAAACAAGUUUCCUAUUCAGUUCAUUAUUUAAAUGAAUGCGUUCAAUAUGCCACCCCCCCUUAAUAUAUUUCCUCUGCUUUUCUUUGUCUCACUCACUAUUUCUGUCUGUCACGCACGAUUUCUGUCUCUCAUGCACUCUCUUGCUCUUUCGAACUUUUUAUAUCUUGCAAUUUAUAAUCGUGUAUGAACUAUCGUUACGAGCCGGAGAAUUCUGCACUGCUCAGACUCUACAGUCGAGUAGAAGUUUUAAAGUCUUUCAGAUACUACAGAUGUGGUUGUACUGUCUUCAUUUGUUUGGUGCUUUUUGGAUAAUAAUACGUAUUUACGUUAGUACUUUUAAAGCUUUGUGUGAGGCUAGCGAUGUCGAUCGGUGAAAUCUUUGAUUACUUAUAUCCAUCCCGGACAAAAAACUUUGAGAAUUUACAUUACAAUGAGUCUAGAUCUAUGACUUCCAAUUUACUGGUGUUUUGGUCGUCGAUAAUUGUGGCAAGCUGUUUCCUCCAAUGUUUCGGCUGGACCUGGUCAUACUUCAUUCAGAUACUAGAAGUGUGGCCUCGCAUUUUCGGUUCUUUGGAUAUCGAUGAUGAUACUGACGAAGAACAUUAACACCAAAGUUCUUCACCUCAAGCUCAAAGCUGACUCGUUGUCAGGUAUUAGUUUGUGAGAUCCUUGUAAGCAUGAUUUUAUGAUUUUAGUUCGUUCAAUGUUCAAUGAUGACGAUGUCAGUGGACAUUAAAUUUUUGAAGAAAUAUUCGUCAUGUCGUAUUCAUCAUUUAAUAUUCGCAUAAGAGUUCACAAUUAAUCGUGAGGUCAUGCGUUUUAAUUUCCAUACUUCAGUUUAAAUAAUGAUUCCUGUGCACGUUAAAUUGGAAAUUGAGCGCUCAUGGCACAUAGAAAUACGUGAUACAGAAAAACAUACAUAGACAAUUUACACUUGAAAAUAAUUAAUGUUUUUAUAUAAUUGUAAUUUUAUAAGAUUCUGAUGUGUACAUAAAUACUAUAGUUGAUUAUAAUUAAAGCGAUGCAAUGAAAAUGUUAAGCAUUUGGUUCGACCCGUGGUAACGGGCUGUACAAAUGUAAUGCGUUAAAUAUCUCAAAACAUGUGAUAGAUAUUAACACAAAUUUUGAAUAUACAAUGAGGAAUAACAUUUGGAAUACUCCCAUCAAUGUUAGACAAUGUAUAUAGCGAUUAAACAUAAACAUGUAUAUAGCGAAUAAAAUAACUUCUCUAUAAUGAUG
Molecule: long non-coding RNA, 1734 nt
Organism: Bombus impatiens (common eastern bumble bee)
Lineage: Eukaryota; Metazoa; Arthropoda; Insecta; Hymenoptera; Apidae
Exons: 5
Source: RefSeq, a predicted model, not a curated record